UACAUGAAGUUGUUGGUUGUAAAAUACUCCACUAAGGACUUAAUUUUAGCAACACUUCCGUCCCAUUUUCUUGAUUUGUUCAUGAAAACUGGUACUGUAUCAAAGGAGUUACAGCUACUCACGGAUGAACUGUUUGUAAAGGGAA
Molecule: long non-coding RNA, 145 nt
Organism: Amphimedon queenslandica
Lineage: Eukaryota; Metazoa; Porifera; Demospongiae; Haplosclerida; Niphatidae
Exons: 3
Source: RefSeq, a predicted model, not a curated record